Molecule: long non-coding RNA, 478 nt
Filed under: Bos taurus (domestic cattle)
Lineage: Eukaryota; Metazoa; Chordata; Mammalia; Artiodactyla; Bovidae
Description: long non-coding RNA NONBTAT026363
Source: RNAcentral
GGACUGUGGCCUAGACUUCCUUGGGACUGAGGAAUGAGCAGGACAGAGGGUCACCUGGUCCGUGGCCCCUGCCCCUGUUCCAGUAUGGCUUGAUCAUAACCUCGUGGGGCUUGGAUGUUUCCAUACCAGACAAGUGGACAAGGCAACGAUUUUAAUAAUGGGGGUAAGAGAAUUCUGCAUCUGGCUAAUUUUCUUAUUUUUAUGAAUUAUCUUAAAAAAAAUCUGAAAAUAGUCCCAAUCCUAAGAAAAACAGAUGGAUAUCAAAUCCGUUAUGUGGAUACCUAUGAAGAAGAAAGCCAGUCAGGUUCUGAAAGGGUAGGGCAAGCUCCAUGUGCAAUUAUAUUGGAACAGUUAAGGGGGGAGAUUUUUACUGAGUAGAGGGCAGUGUAUAUGGUUUAUUUAAGCUUCCAAAAGGUUUUGAAUUGUGUCUUUCGAAAAGACCUGCUAGGAAGUGCUAAUAAUUGAAGAUGGAGAGAAA